CAAUAGCGUAUAUUAAAGUUGUUGCAGUUAAAAAGCUCGUAGUUGGAUUUCUGAUCGAGACAUCAGGUCGGGUCCGAGAGGAUCAUGUACUUUGAUUUUGUUUUGAUCAUCCUUGGGGAGAGCAUUUCUGGCAUUCAGUUGUCGGGAUUGGGAUCCUCAUCGUUUACUGUGAAAAAAUUAGAGUGUUCAAAGCAGGCCUCGGCCUCUGAAUACAUUAGCAUGGAAUAAUAAGAUAGGACUUUGGUGGUCUAUUUUGUUGGUUUGCACGCCAAAGUAAUGAUUAAUAGGGAUGGUUGGGGGUAUUCGUAUUCAAUUGUCAGAGGUGAAAUUCUUGGAUUUAUGGAAGACGAACUACUGCGAAAGCAUUUACCAAGGAUGUUUUCAUUAA
RNAcentral lists this ribosomal RNA (388 nucleotides) under uncultured eukaryote. Its description in RNAcentral is "partial 18S ribosomal RNA". It matches the Rfam family "Eukaryotic small subunit ribosomal RNA", at positions 592 to 976 of the family's 1831-position model. The record is from RNAcentral.